UCUAACUCGCUGGGUUGGUAGAGCGCUCCACUGGGAUUGGAGAGGUCCCUCGUUCAAUUCCAGGACCGGGAGAA
RNAcentral lists this transfer RNA (74 nucleotides) under Ixodes scapularis (black-legged tick). Its description in RNAcentral is "tRNA-Pro". Lineage: Eukaryota; Metazoa; Arthropoda; Arachnida; Ixodida; Ixodidae. The record is from RNAcentral.